Molecule: ribosomal RNA, 628 nt
Filed under: uncultured bacterium
Lineage: Bacteria
Description: bacterial SSU rRNA
Rfam family: Bacterial small subunit ribosomal RNA
Source: RNAcentral
CUAAUACCGCAUGAUAUAUCGGAAUCACACGAUUUUGAUAUCAAAGAUUUUAUCGCUUGAAGAUGGACUCGCGUCCGAUUAGUUAGUUGGUGAGGUAACGGCUCACCAAGACCGCGAUCGGUAGCCGGACUGAGAGGUUGAACGGCCACAUUGGGACUGAGACACGGCCCAGACUCCUACGGGAGGCAGCAGUGGGGGAUAUUGCGCAAUGGGGGCAACCCUGACGCAGCAACGCCGCGUGAAGGAUGAAGGUUUUCGGAUUGUAAACUUCUUUUAUUAAGGACGAAACUUGACGGUACUUAAUGAAUAAGCUCCGGCUAACUACGUGCCAGCAGCCGCGGUAAUACGUAGGGAGCAAGCGUUGUCCGGAUUUACUGGGUGUAAAGGGUGCGUAGGCGGCUUUGCAAGUCAGAUGUGAAAUCUAUGGGCUCAACCCAUAAACUGCAUUUGAAACUGUAGAGCUUGAGUGAAGUAGAGGCAGGCGGAAUUCCCCGUGUAGCGGUGAAAUGCGUAGAGAUGGGGAGGAACACCAGUGGCGAAGGCGGCCUGCUGGGCUUUAACUGACGCUGAGGCACGAAAGCGUGGGUAGCAAACAGGAUUAGAUACCCUGGUAGUCCACGCUGUAAAC